This 399-nucleotide ribosomal RNA is filed under the name Bacillus subtilis. RNAcentral describes it as "partial 16S ribosomal RNA". It matches the Rfam family "Bacterial small subunit ribosomal RNA", at positions 985 to 1386 of the family's 1533-position model. The record is from RNAcentral. Lineage: Bacteria; Bacillati; Bacillota; Bacilli; Caryophanales; Bacillaceae.
CUGCCUUUUUUUUAAAAAAGAGAGAGAGGACGUCCCCUUCGGGGGCAGAGUGCUUGGAAAGGAAGGGGUGUCGUCAGCUCGUGUCGUGAGAUGUUGGGUUAAGUCCCGCAACGAGCGCAACCCUUGAUCUUUUUUCCAAGCAUUCAGUUGGGCACUCUAAGGUGACUGCCGGUGACAAACCGGAGGAAGGUGGGGAUGACGUCAAAUCAUCAUGCCCCUUAUGACCUGGGCUACCACGUGCUACAAUGGACAGAACAAAGGGCAGCGAAACCCCGAGGUUAAGCCAAUCCCACAAAUCUGUUCCCCCUUCGAUCGAAUCUGCACUCACUGCCGGAAGCUGGAACGCUAGAAUCGCGGACAACCUGCCCGGUGAUUUUUCCCGGCCUGUACCCCGCCGUA